UACGUAGGGGGCUAGCGUUGUCCGGAUUUAUUGGGCGUAAAGAGCGUGUAGGCGACCAGGUAGGUCUGGUGUGAAAACUCGAGGCUUAACCUCGAGAUGUCAUCGGAAACCAUUUGGCUAGAGUCCGGAAGAGGAGAGUGGAAUUCCUGGUGUAGCGGUGAAAUGCGCAGAUAUCAGGAAGAACACCAAUGGCGAAAGCAGCUCUCUGGGACGGUACUGACGCUGAGACGCGAAAGCGUGGGGAGCGAACAGG
RNAcentral lists this ribosomal RNA (253 nucleotides) under uncultured bacterium. Its description in RNAcentral is "partial 16S ribosomal RNA". It matches the Rfam family "Bacterial small subunit ribosomal RNA", at positions 524 to 776 of the family's 1533-position model. The record is from RNAcentral.